Molecule: transfer RNA, 65 nt
Filed under: Deronectes hispanicus
Lineage: Eukaryota; Metazoa; Arthropoda; Insecta; Coleoptera; Dytiscidae
Description: tRNA-Phe
Source: RNAcentral
AUUUAAAUAGCUUAAUUUAGAGUACAAUAUUGAAGAUAUUGUGGUGAUUUUAUAAUCUUUAAAUA